This 490-nucleotide ribosomal RNA is filed under the name uncultured bacterium. RNAcentral's name for it is "partial 16S ribosomal RNA". It matches the Rfam family "Bacterial small subunit ribosomal RNA", at positions 30 to 507 of the family's 1533-position model. The record is from RNAcentral.
AUUGAACGCUGGCGGCAGGCCUAACACAUGCAAGUCGAACGGUAACAGGAAGAAGCUUGCUUCUUUGCUGACGAGUGGCGGACGGGUGAGUAAUGUCUGGGAAACUGCCUGAUGGAGGGGGAUAACUACUGGAAACGGUAGCUAAUACCGCAUAACGUCGCAAGACCAAAGAGGGGGACCUUCGGGCCUCUUGCCAUCGGAUGUGCCCAGAUGGGAUUAGCUAGUAGGUGGGGUAACGGCUCACCUAGGCGACGAUCCCUAGCUGGUCUGAGAGGAUGACCAGCCACACUGGAACUGGGACACGGUCCAGACUCCUACGGGAGGCAGCAGUGGGGAAUAGUGCACAGUGGGCGCAAGCCUGAUGCAGCCAUGCCGCGUGUAUGAAGAAGGCCUUCGGGUUGUAAAGUACUUUCAGCGGGGAGGAAGGGAGUAAAGUUAAUACCUUUGCUCAUUGACGUUACCCGCAGAAGAAGCACCGGCUAACUCCGUG